RNAcentral lists this non-coding RNA (31 nucleotides) under Homo sapiens (human). Lineage: Eukaryota; Metazoa; Chordata; Mammalia; Primates; Hominidae. The record is from RNAcentral.
UCACCAGAUUUCACCGAGAGACCCCUUCUUU